RNAcentral lists this ribosomal RNA (123 nucleotides) under Rhodobacter capsulatus. RNAcentral's name for it is "partial 23S ribosomal RNA". The record is from RNAcentral. Lineage: Bacteria; Pseudomonadati; Pseudomonadota; Alphaproteobacteria; Rhodobacterales.
GGGGAAACCCACCUGAAUGUCGGUUAUGAUUGCCUGAUGGCACUUCUUAAUCGGCAUAACCAGGUAUCUUAACCCUGAAUACAUAGGGGUUUUGAAGCGAACCCGGGGAACUGAAACUUCUAA